This is an RNA transcript of Myotis daubentonii (Daubenton's bat), 3892 nucleotides long. It is a transcript of the gene named glycerol kinase, with no coding region annotated. The record is from RefSeq and is a predicted model, not a curated record. NCBI's taxonomy places the organism in Eukaryota, Metazoa, Chordata, Mammalia, Chiroptera, Vespertilionidae. The transcript has 23 exons.
CUCCACGCGCGUAAAGGGGCUGCCUGGUGCCGGGUCUGGUCGAUUUGCGGUCACACACCGCCUCGCCCUCCGGACUGGGUUCUGCGCCUCCUCUGCUGGCCGCCGUCACCCGGGAAACCAGUCGCGACCUUCCGCAGACCCGAAGCUGGUUUCAUGGCAGCCGCGAAGAAAGCAGUUUUGGGGCCGUUGGUUGGGGCAGUGGACCAGGGCACCAGCUCGACGCGCUUUUUGGUUUUCAAUUCAAAAACAGCCGAACUACUUAGUCAUCAUCAAGUGGAAAUAAAACAAGAGUUUCCAAGAGAAGGAUGGGUGGAACAAGACCCUAAGGAAAUUCUGAUGUCUGUCUAUGAGUGUAUAGAGAAAACAUGUGAGAAACUUGAACAACUCAAUAUUGACAUUUCCAACAUAAAAGCUAUUGGUGUCAGUAACCAGAGGGAAACCACUGUAGUCUGGGACAAGAUAACUGGAGAGCCUCUCUACAAUGCUGUAGCCGCUCCAGUUUCUCCUGGCCCUUCAGAUCCAGUUGCCGUUGUUCCCUCUGGCUCUUCAGUUCCAGCUGCUGGCCCUUCCUCAGUGUGGCUUGAUCUAAGAACCCAGUCUACCGUUGAGAAUCUUAGUAAAAGAAUUCCAGGAAAUAACUUUCUCAAGUCCAAGACAGGCCUUCCACUUAGCACUUACUUCAGUGCUGUGAAAGUUCGUUGGCUUCUCGACAAUGUGAAAGAAGUUCAAAGGGCUGUUGAAGAAGAUAGAGCUCUUUUUGGGACUAUUGAUUCAUGGCUCAUUUGGUGUCUGACAGGAGGAACCAAUGGAGGCGUCCACUGUACAGAUGUAACAAAUGCAAGUAGGACGAUGCUUUUCAACAUUCAUUCUUUGGAAUGGGAUAAAGAGCUCUGCGAAUUUUUUGAAAUUCCAAUGAAAAUUCUUCCAAAUGUCCGGAGUUCUUCUGAAAUCUAUGGCUUAAUGAAAAUCUCUCAUAGCCUGAAAGCUGGGGCCUUGGAAGGUGUGCCAAUAUCUGGGUGUUUGGGGGACCAGUCUGCUGCAUUGGUGGGACAAAUGUGUUUCCGAGAUGGCCAAGCCAAAAAUACCUAUGGAACAGGCUGCUUCUUACUAUGUAAUACAGGCCGUAAGUGUGUAUUUUCUGAACAUGGCCUUCUGACCACAGUGGCUUACAAACUCGGUAGAGAUAAACCCGUAUAUUAUGCACUGGAAGGUUCUGUAGCUAUAGCCGGUGCUGUCAUCCGCUGGCUAAGAGACAAUCUUGGAAUUAUAAACAGCUCAGACGAAAUUGAAAAACUUGCUAAAGAAGUAGGUACUUCUUAUGGCUGCUAUUUCGUCCCAGCGUUUUCAGGGUUAUAUGCACCUUACUGGGAGCCCAGUGCAAGAGGGAUCAUCUGUGGGCUCACUCAGUUCACCAAUAAAUGCCAUAUUGCUUUUGCUGCAUUAGAAGCUGUUUGUUUCCAAACCCGAGAGAUUCUGGAUGCCAUGAACCGUGACUGUGGAAUUCCACUCAGUCAUCUGCAGGUAGAUGGAGGAAUGACCAACAAUAAAAUUCUUAUGCAGCUACAAGCAGACAUUCUGUAUAUCCCAGUAGUGAAGCCUUCCAUGCCAGAAACCACUGCCCUGGGAGCCGCCAUGGCAGCGGGGGCUGCAGAAGGAGUUGGCGUUUGGAGUCUGGAACCUGAGGAUCUGUCAGCUGUCACAGUGGAGCGGUUUGAACCCCAGAUCAAUGCUGAGGAAAGCGAAAUUCGUUUUUCUACCUGGAAGAAAGCUGUGAUGAAGUCAAUGGGCUGGGUUACAGCUGAGUCUUCGGAAAGCGAAGCAUAUACUUUGCUGAAGAAGAGUUUAUAAGUGAAAUAUAACCUGCCUUCCAAACCAAAGUGACCCUAGUAUCUUCUGUAGUCUACCCCUGGGCUUUUUUAUAAUGAGUAGCAUGAUAAUGUUUAUCGGAGCAAGGUACAUCUCAGGUAUCCUAUAAAUAAUAGAACUCAUGGAUUCCAAUGGUGCGAGCUCUUUACCUAACAAGAGACUCCAGCAAUUCUCUUACUCUGAUGACACUAUUCAUAGACUCUGAUUUUAUUUAUAAGCCAUUUGCUGCAUGACCCUCGAAGUUGACCUGUGGCUCGAAAUAAAGAAAAUGCAGCAGAAAGAAUGCUAUAGAAACAUGGGUGUGUUUUUUAACAUCAAUCAUAAGAUUGGACCAGCCACCUUUGGAGCUGACCCCUCCUUUGCCAGGAUUUGAUUCUCUGCACUACACACACUUGAUCAAGGGGUUAUUGCUAACUGGCUAAAAAUGAGCGACUUUGUGUUUCUUUUUAGCAGAACCCUGAAGUUCUCUUUUCUGCAUAUGCAGGAAGCCCACAGAAUCUUCACUGAUUGUUUAAGUGGAAUUCUCUACUAAAUCCUUAAAAUGAAAAUUUAGUAUUCUCAUAGUUUAGCUAUUUUUCUGAAAAGUAUUGCCAAAAUCAAAAUUCUUCAGCCAUUUUACAUGGUAUUACUAAUUAUACUGCAUUGCUGUCUGGAUCUUAUAGGGAAGGACACUUUUUCCUUUUUUUCCCCCAUCUCUCCUUUUUAUAUUUUUUACUUUAUAUGUAUAACAUACAUGCCUAUAUAUUUUAUAUACUGAGGGUAGCCCAUUUAUAAACUAAGAGUACAUUUUACAUGGCCUCACUAAUUACACUGAAUUUGUGUCCGGAUCUUGUAGAAAAGAACACUUUUUUUCUUUUUAUAUUUCUUACUUUGUAUGUAGUACAUACAUGCCUAUAUAUUUUAUAUACUAAAGGUAGCCCAUUUAUAAAUUAAAAGCACAUUGUAUUCAGUAGGUUAUAAUGGGGCUGGUCUUAAGUGGACCACUAUGUGUAUAAAUAUUUUGGGGAAAACAGCUGUAUAUGUUUUGGGGCAGCAGUUAUACAUAUUAUUUACCAGGAGAAACUUUUUCUUAAAGAGCCAACAUUUGAAAUUUAAAGUAUGUGUUCUAUGUCAAUAAAAGAAAAUAGACUUUAUUGUGACUUCAACUAUGUUUCUUAUACCUUACAUUUUUAUUUAAAAUUUUUAGCCGGAUAUAUGCUAAAGAGAGAAAACUGUGGAAUACUAUAGUAAAUACUGUUUUCAAACACAAGUACUAGUCCAUAUGAAGUUAUUUUCAUUUAACGUAAUCUUAAACAUAUUUGGGAUCCUUUUGAGGGGAUGUCAAAAAAGGUUAAAAAUUUAAGUUAAAAAACACACACCAUUAGAAAUAAAGCCAAGAUCACUUUCCACCCAAAUAUGUUAUUAAUUGCUGAUAAGCAAUUAUAAUUUCUAUUUGGGAUGACAAUUACCUCUGCUUACUGUCAAAACUUUUAAAAGGUUUACUAUUAGAAAUGGCUUCCAAUGAAACCAAGAAUUUCUCAAAAUAUUUAGUAUUGCGUGUGCCUAAUGUAGCUUCUUAAUGUCAAUUUUAAAAACAUCCUAAAAUUAAUUGCUGUUUACUGCAAGUAAGAAUAUACUGCCUCCUAAUUAUUUUAUUCAAUCAGUGCUGAAAAUGGAAAAAUAUUUAUAUGUUAAUAUGAAAAGUUUUAUUUGGAAUCAAUGCUAACUUGAAUUUGCAGUGCUCAUUGUGCUGUUUCUAAAUUGUUGAAUCUGCUGGGUUUUUAUUGAUGCUGCUGCCACUUUCGUGACAUAAAUAUUAAAGAAAGGUACUGUGAAAUUACUACUUUGUGGCAGGGUACUUUUAAACAUACUGAUAUUUCUACAAAGGUAGUUUCAGUUCAUUGUAAAUAAUUGUUAAAAUCACUGUUCAGAUAACAUUAAGAUUACAUUAAUUUUCUAUAAAUGGCGAUAUUUGUAAAUGUUUGAAAUUGUACACAUUGAUAUUUCAUGAUAAAUGUGCUUAAAAUAAAUUGACCCCUCAUUCUUA